ACGUACGCUGGCGGCACGCCUAACACAUGCAAGUCGAACGAAGUAGCAAUACUUAGUGGCAGACGGGUGAGUAACAUGUAGGUAUCUGCCCUUUGGCCUGGAAUAACACGAGGAAACUUGUGCUAAUACCGGAUAAGUCUUUACGGAGAAAGCUUUAUGCACCAUUGGAUGAGCCUGCACUUGAUUAGUUUGUUGGUGGGGUAAUGGCCUACCAAGACUGUGAUCAAUAGCUGAUUUGAGAGGAUGAUCAGCCACAUUGGGACUGAGACACGGCCCAAACUCCUACGGGAGGCAGCAGUGGGGAAUCUUGCACAAUGGAGGAAACUCUGAUGCAGCGAUGCCGCGUGAGUGAAGAAGGCCUUUGGGUUGUAAAGCUCUUUCGUCGGGGAAGAAAAUGACUGUACCCGAAUAAGAAGGUCCGGCUAACUUCGUGCCAGCAGCCGCGGUAAUACGAAGGGACCUAGCGUAGUUCGGAAUUACUGGGCUUAAAGAGUUCGUAGGUGGUUGAAAAAGUUAGUGGUGAAAUCCCAGAGCUUAACUCUGGAACUGCCAUUAAAACUUUUCAGCUAGAGUAUGAUAGAGGAAAGCAGAAUUUCUAGUGUAGAGGUGAAAUUCGUAGAUAUUAGAAAGAAUACCAAUUGCGAAGGCAGCUUUCUGGAUCAUUACUGACACUGAGGAACGAAAGCAUGGGUAGCGAAGAGGAUUAGAUACCCUCGUAGUCCAUGCCGUAAACGAUGUGUGUUAGACGUUGGAAAUUUAUUUUCAGUGUCGCAGGGAAACCGAUAAACACACCGCCUGGGGAGUACGACCGCAAGGUUAAAACUCAAAUGAAUUGACGGGGACCCGCACAAGUAGUGGAGCAUGUGGUUUAAUUCGAAGAUACGCGCAGAACCUUACCAACACUUGACAUGUUCGUCGCGACUCUAAGAGAUUAGAGUUUUCGGUUCGGCCGGACGAAACACAGGUGCUGCAUGGCUGUCGUCAGCUCGUGUCGUGAGAUGUUGGGUUAAGUCCCGCAACGAGCGCAACCCUCACUUUUAGUUGCCAUCAUUAAGUUGGGCACUCUGAAAGAACUGCCAGUGAUAAGCUGGAGGAAGGUGGGGAUGACGUCAAGUCCUCAUGGCCCUUACGUGUUGGGCUACACACGUGCUACAAUGGUAUCUACAACAGGAAGCAAGACUGCGAAGUUAAGCAAAUCCCUAAAAGAUACCUCAGUUCGGAUUGCACUCUGCAACUCGAGUGCAUGAAGCUGGAAUUACUAGUAAUCGUGGAUCAGCGUGCCACGGUGAAUGCGUUCCCGGGUCUUGUACUCACCGCC
Molecule: ribosomal RNA, 1318 nt
Filed under: uncultured Alphaproteobacteria bacterium
Lineage: Bacteria; Pseudomonadati; Pseudomonadota; Alphaproteobacteria
Description: bacterial SSU rRNA
Rfam family: Bacterial small subunit ribosomal RNA
Source: RNAcentral